Molecule: long non-coding RNA, 1108 nt
Organism: Dama dama (fallow deer)
Lineage: Eukaryota; Metazoa; Chordata; Mammalia; Artiodactyla; Cervidae
Exons: 3
Source: RefSeq, a predicted model, not a curated record
CAUUGGCUUCUGCUAAUUUGGUCCAUGGCCAGGAUUUCUGUAGUUCUUAUUGUGGGAUUGCUGAACUCUGCUCCAGGCUUUGAGCACAAGGCAGUGUCCAAGGCAGAGGAGGGUCCCUCCCCUCAGAGUGUUCCAGUCCUGCUCUGGUGGAAAUGCACCAGCCCUCAGCCUGGGUCUUAGCCUCUGUUCUCGCUGUCACUCACUGUUGGAUUUAGCAGUGGGAUCACAGAGUUCUGACCUUAACCUGUUCUUCUACUUGUUUACACCUUUGGCUAUUUCCUGGUCUCUGCUCUCUUCUGUCUGCUUCUUUCAUUUUCCAGGGUUGGCACUUGGCUCCUGCUGUAUGCCUGGCACAUUUGGGUCAACUGAUGCCGACUGUUCCAUUUAUCCAGCACCCGUGGUGGAUCCAUCCACAGUUUGUGAUUCUAUUUUCUGACCUGGUCUCUUAACAUCCAGCUUUGUCUCCUGAGUAUAACUUCACAUUUGUUCUUAGAUCUAACCACUGCCCUUGAUCUCCUGGCUCUGAUCCCAAAUCAGAAAGACGUUAGUGAUUUGCAGUUAUCCACCUGCCCCACCAACCUGGAUCUAGGACAGUGGAGGCACCUGGAGCAGGUUAAAGAAAGCUGUAGCAAAUUGGACAAGAUUUUGUUAUUGCAACCUUCAGAUGAAUACCAGCCACACCAGCUGACAGUUUAAUUGCCACGGUGCUUCCAAAGGAGGAAACAGUUGGCUGGCUUCUUUCUAAUACAUUGCAACUUGGGCCAGAACUCAUGGUGUGGAUGAACCUGAAUGGAUCGCUCUGUUUACUCCCCUAGAGUGUUUUGGAGCAAACGAGUGGGGAUGUGGGGGAAGAAGAGAGAAAGAAACUGACUUCUACUGAGUGCCUCUAAGAACCAGGCACUGGAUUGGAGGAAGCAAACUGCCAUGUUGCGGGCAACGCUAUGGAAACAGUCAUGUGGUGUGGUGAGGAACUGAGACCCUCAGCUCAACAACUGGAAGAGCGGAAGCUUGCCAACUUCCCCACGAGAAAGCUCUCAAGUGGAUCCGUCAGCUCCAGCCGACAGCUUCACUGCAGGUUUACGGGAGACCCUGAGCCAGAACCACUCAG